CUCGUAGCCGGCGGUCGCGGCGGGUAGCGAGGCGGCCGGGGGCAGGGCGGCCGAAGCUGGCAGUGGUGUCAGAUGAGGAAGGUGAGACACAGAGAGGUCAAGUAAGUCUCUUGAUGUCACACAGCUGCUUUAAAUCCAGGCCGUCUGACACAGGGACAGACAAUAUCUGAGACACGUUGUGGGGCAGGAAGGAGCCGGUCUGGGGAAGUGGAACCCGCUACAUCCAUGUCCACUUUGGUGUCCUGAGGUAGCAGGUCUGGAAUGAGGGCAGCUUUUCCCGCCCGUCUCCCUGCACAGCAGCAUGUCAGCUUGCAGCAGGAGCAUUAGGAGAAGAAACAGAAACCCACUCGCAGCUGCUGAGACAGGCCCACAGUGGGGAAGGAGGGGCAUAGAAGGCCCCAACCUUGGCUUUCAGGAGCAGGAUCCAGCUGGCAAGAUGCUAACAGAUGUCAGCGUGCUGCAGACUCUUUCCAGCAGAACAGAUAGACCGUUCUUUCAGACUGGGUGGCCUUGCAAAAACCUGAGUUUGCCACAUGUUAGCAGUUGAGUAACUGUGUGUCUGAGUCCAGCAGGUGUGUGUGGGCUCCCGGGCUCCUGGGGCUUCAGAGACAGGAUGGGGUGAUUCAUGACUGGUGAGGGGCAAAGCCAGGACUUGGGCUGGGUCAUCCCAUCUUCCAGCCGGGAACAUGGCCCUCAGCAACCUUGUCAGCUUCUGCAUAAACCUUGUUUGGCAUCAACACAUGGGGAUUUUCCUUGGUGCUUCUAGUUGACGCCUUGCUAUGUAUUAGAUGAGCUGCACUCAUGGGCCCUGAGACCCUCCUCUCAGCUCAGCCUCCCCUCUCAUUCCUUCCUUCAGGACCCUCUUCUGCCUCACCCACCCCUCAAGCAUAGGAUGGGUGGGGGGAUGGAUUGAUGGGUGAACGAGUGUAUGAUGGGUGAAAGGGUAAGUGGGUUAGGCUUCCACUCUAGGCACCCUUCUCUUUCGUAUGUACUUCUUUACAGGUGAUGGAAUCUGAAAGUCUAUCUUCAGUCCAGACGCUCAAGAGUCUAUAGCCUGCCAUAGGCGUCCACCCCAUGGUCCCCUGGGUCCCUUUCCCACCAUCAUGCUGUCAUGCCUACCUCUCUUGCAGUCACUGAGCUGGCACUACACUCCUCCCCAUGAGCCAAGCAGCUAGCUUCAUCUAUGCUCCCUUCUAGAUUCCUCUCACUGCUGAAUACCUAACCUGGCCCCUCUCACCUAUCAUAUUUCUCUGAUACUCCCAGACUCUGCCUGCACUCACCCAGUGCCUGAUGGGCACAUCUGGCCAACUUGUUCUCCAGGGGCUCCUUUGGGAAUAGUCCAGGACCCCUGGCCUCCAGGCCUUGCCUCUUCCCCAGGGCCCAACUUCCUGUUUCCUUGUCUCCCCUCAGUGUCUCUGAGUGAGGCUGAGUUGUUUCCUCUGCCCAGGAGUGCCACUCCCUAGAAUCACUAACCAAUGGCCCUGUUACCACCCGUGUAGCACCUUUUGUCUUUGGGAGUCCUUUCCUCCGUUGAAAAGUUUUAAAUUAUAACUUAUAACUCUAUUGGUAUAAAGAUAAAUAUAGCCCAUGAUAGAUUCAUUCUUCAACAUUCAUUGUUAUUAUAUUCUUUUUUCAUUCUGGU
This is a long non-coding RNA of Prionailurus viverrinus (fishing cat), 1642 nucleotides long. RefSeq lists it as uncharacterized. Lineage: Eukaryota; Metazoa; Chordata; Mammalia; Carnivora; Felidae. The record is from RefSeq and is a predicted model, not a curated record. The transcript is spliced from 5 exons.